GACGAACGCUGGCGGCGUGCUUAACACAUGCAAGUCGAACGGAAAGGCCCUGCUUUUGUGGGGUGCUCGAGUGGCGAACGGGUGAGUAACACGUGAGUAACCUGCCCUUGACUUUGGGAUAACUUCAGGAAACUGGGGCUAAUACCGGAUAGGAGCUCCUGCUGCAUGGUGGGGGUUGGAAAGUUUCGGCGGUUGGGGAUGGACUCGCGGCUUAUCAGCUUGUUGGUGGGGUAGUGGCUUACCAAGGCUUUGACGGGUAGCCGGCCUGAGAGGGUGACCGGCCACAUUGGGACUGAGAUACGGCCCAGACUGCUACGGGAGGCAGCAGUGGGGAAUAUUGCACAAUGGGCGGAAGCCUGAUGCAGCAAAGCCGCGUGCGGGAUGACGGCCUUCGGGUUGUAAACCGCUUUCGCCUGUGACGAAGCGUGAGUGACGGUAAUGGGUAAAGAAGCACCGGCUAACUACGUG
This 468-nucleotide ribosomal RNA is filed under the name uncultured bacterium. Its description in RNAcentral is "partial 16S ribosomal RNA". It matches the Rfam family "Bacterial small subunit ribosomal RNA", at positions 28 to 507 of the family's 1533-position model. The record is from RNAcentral.